AUUCCUUCAGGAUAGAUGGAGUGUGUAAUGAAGCUGUUAUAUUCGGCAAAGCGAAUGAUUAGAGGAAUUGUGGGACGAAACGUCUUCAACCUAUUCUCAAACUUUCAAUGAGUAUGGCGUCAUGCUUGAUUGAAUGAAGCAUAGACAUUGAAUGUGUGCUCCAAGUGGACCAUUUUUGGUAAGCAGAACUGGCGCUGUGGGAUGAACAA
Molecule: non-coding RNA, 209 nt
Filed under: Onchocerca volvulus
Lineage: Eukaryota; Metazoa; Nematoda; Chromadorea; Rhabditida; Onchocercidae
Description: Eukaryotic large subunit ribosomal RNA
Rfam family: Eukaryotic large subunit ribosomal RNA
Source: Rfam by way of RNAcentral